This 265-nucleotide long non-coding RNA is filed under the name Mytilus galloprovincialis (Mediterranean mussel). The record is from RNAcentral. Lineage: Eukaryota; Metazoa; Mollusca; Bivalvia; Mytilida; Mytilidae.
AUUUUUUGGAUCCCACUAAAGAAUUACACCAUAUCAAUUUUGUCAUCCCAAGUUCUAAUAUAGCCUAAGUCUAUAUUACAUGGGAUUUACUCCUUGUUGAAGGCCAUUCAGUGAGUUGUAGUAAUUGACACCUUUGCUCAUUGGUCUUUGGUAGAAAGUGUGCGACAUGAAUAGACAAUUUAUGCUAAAAAAAAAACCAAGAUAAAAAAAAAGGCAGUACAGAAAUAACAACUUAAAAAAAAUAAUGCAGGACAAAAAUGUUCAU